UCGACUAGUCAGUAAUAC
Molecule: ribosomal RNA, 18 nt
Filed under: Mucidosphaerium sphagnale
Lineage: Eukaryota; Viridiplantae; Chlorophyta; Trebouxiophyceae; Chlorellales; Chlorellaceae
Description: partial 28S ribosomal RNA
Source: RNAcentral